GGGAGUAUAGCUCAGUGGUAGAGCAUCCGACUGCAGAUCGGAUUGUCCCCGGUUUAAACCCGGGUGUUCCCU
Non-coding RNA from Daphnia pulex (common water flea), 72 nucleotides. NCBI's taxonomy places the organism in Eukaryota, Metazoa, Arthropoda, Branchiopoda, Diplostraca, Daphniidae. The record is from the annotation of a RefSeq genome assembly.